AGCAACAGACCGUCUCACGUGAGCUCAGGGGAAGAGUCUCGAGCAGACACUUAACCGUCUCCCCACGCGCGUCACUGGAGAGAGACGGCAAGGGCUCCACCUUAAUCAUGCUGAGACCAAGGUGCUGACAGCAAUCGUCCUGGUAGAAGUUCUGCUGCUGUAGCAGUAUGGGUAAUAUCCAGAGCAGAAGGAGUCCUGUCCUGAAGGGUUUCUUCAGAACUGUCCUUCACAGCGUAUGAUCGCUUUUCUGACCUCUGCUUAACUGAGGAGUAUGCCUGCUUCUGUGGCAACCUGGAAAACAAUAUGACAAUAUUCCCAUAAUACUGAAGGAAAGGAUGUCUGGAUUACAACAGCUGGGGCUUCUUGGAUUUCCAUCUGGGUAUUUGAUCGUGCCUGUUCCCACAACGGAGGCCAUUUAUAUUUUUUCAAAUCGUCCUGAAAAUAAUAGACUAGGAUCUGACCAUCUUCACUUAUAGCUUCUGAGAAACAGGAAUGAAAACUAUUAAUAUGAA
Long non-coding RNA from Hemiscyllium ocellatum (epaulette shark), 512 nucleotides. RefSeq lists it as uncharacterized. NCBI's taxonomy places the organism in Eukaryota, Metazoa, Chordata, Chondrichthyes, Orectolobiformes, Hemiscylliidae. The transcript has 3 exons. The record is from RefSeq and is a predicted model, not a curated record.